UACAGAGGUCCCAAGCGUUGUUCGGAUUCACUAGGCGUAAAGGGUGCGUAGGCGGUCGGGUAAGUCUGAUGUGAAAUCUCACAGCUUAACUGUGAAACUGCAUUGGAUACUAUCCGGCUCGAGGAAUGGAGGGGAGACUGGAAUACUUGGUGUAGCAGUGAAAUGCGUAGAUAUCAAGUGGAACACCAGUGGCGAAGGCGAGUCUCUGGACAUUUCCUGACGCUGAGGCACGAAAGCCAGGGGAGCAAACGGG
This 253-nucleotide ribosomal RNA is filed under the name uncultured bacterium. Its description in RNAcentral is "partial 16S ribosomal RNA". It matches the Rfam family "Bacterial small subunit ribosomal RNA", at positions 524 to 776 of the family's 1533-position model. The record is from RNAcentral.